Non-coding RNA from Parelaphostrongylus tenuis, 74 nucleotides. The record is from the annotation of a GenBank genome assembly. NCBI's taxonomy places the organism in Eukaryota, Metazoa, Nematoda, Chromadorea, Rhabditida, Metastrongylidae.
GCCUCCGUGGUGUAGUGGUGGUAGCAUGUAUCCCCGGCAUGGAUGAAACGCGAAUUCGAUUCCCGCCUGAGGCU